This 371-nucleotide ribosomal RNA is filed under the name uncultured bacterium. RNAcentral's name for it is "bacterial SSU rRNA". It matches the Rfam family "Bacterial small subunit ribosomal RNA", at positions 524 to 898 of the family's 1533-position model. The record is from RNAcentral.
UACGUAGGGGGCGAGCGUUGUCCGGAUUUACUGGGCGUAAAGGGUGAGUAGGCGGUUAUAUAUGUCAGGUGUAAAAAGCUAUGGCUUAACCAUAGUAAGCACUUGAAACUGUAUGACUUGAGUGCAGGAGAGGUAAGCGGAAUUCCUAGUGUAGCGGUGAAAUGCGUAGAUAUUAGGAGGAACACCGGUGGCGAAGGCGGCUUACUGGACUGUAACUGACGCUGAGUCACGAAAGCGUGGGUAGCAAACAGGAUUAGAUACCCUGGUAGUCCACGCUGUAAACGAUGAGUGCUAGGUGUUGGGUAGCGAUAUUCAGUGCCGGAGUAAACACAAUAAGCACUCCGCCUGGGGAGUACGGUCGCAAGACUGAA